GAUGAACGCUAGCUACAGGCUUAACACAUGCAAGUCGAGGGGAAACGACAUCGAAAGCUUGCUUUUGACGGGCGUCGACCGGCGCACGGGUGAGUAACGCGUAUCCAACCUGCCCAUCACUUGGGAAUAACCUUGCGAAAGUAAGACUAAUACCCAAUGACAUCCCACGAAGACAUCUGAAUGGGAUUAAAGAUUUAUCAGUGAUGGAUGGGGAUGCGUCUGAUUAGCUUGUUGGCGGGGUAACGGCCCACCAAGGCAACGAUCAGUAGGGGUUCUGAGAGGAAGGUCCCCCACAUUGGAACUGAGACACGGUCCAAACUCCUACGGGAGGCAGCAGUGAGGAAUAUUGGUCAAUGGGCGAGAGCCUGAACCAGCCAAGUAGCGUGCAGGAUGACGGCCCUAUGGGUUGUAAACUGCUUUUAUAAGGGAAUAAAGUGGGUCUCGUGAGACUUUUUGCAUGUACCUGAUGAAUAAGGACCGGCUAAUUCCGUG
Molecule: ribosomal RNA, 492 nt
Filed under: uncultured bacterium
Lineage: Bacteria
Description: partial 16S ribosomal RNA
Rfam family: Bacterial small subunit ribosomal RNA
Source: RNAcentral